RNAcentral lists this ribosomal RNA (492 nucleotides) under uncultured bacterium. Its description in RNAcentral is "partial 16S ribosomal RNA". It matches the Rfam family "Bacterial small subunit ribosomal RNA", at positions 28 to 507 of the family's 1533-position model. The record is from RNAcentral.
GAUGAACGCUGGCGGCAUGCCUAACACAUGCAAGUCGAACGGCAGGACAGUAAGAUCUCGCUCUUACCGUUUGCGAGUGGCGGAUGUGUGACGAGUGCAUCGCAAUCUACUUUUUCUGGUGGGACUACGUAAGUAAGCUUACUCUAAUAUCGCAUACGAUCUACGGGUGAGUGCAGGAGAUCUUCUCGGCUUGCGCGACUCUCUGAGCCGAUGUCGGAUUAGCUAGGUGACUGGGUAACGUACUACCAUGCCGACGAUCCGUAGCCGAUCUGAGAGGAUGAUCGGCCACACGGGAACUGAGACACGGUCCAGACUCCUACGGGAGGCAGCAGUGGGGAAUAUUGGGCAAUGGGCGCAAGCCUGAUGCAGCAAUACCGCGUGGGUGAAGAAGGCCUUCGGGUUGUAAAGCCCUUUUGUUGGGAAAGAACAGCUGUAGGUUAAAACCAGGCUGUUCUGACGGUACCUAAAGAAAAAGCACCGGCUAACUUCGUG